GGCCGUAUCUCCAGCUGAGGUGGUCUGGAAAGGAACCCCCAGACAGCUCAGCUUAAGCCAUGGCCUCUGCACGCAUCUCAACACUUGCCAUUCUCUUCACACUGAGUACUUUGAGCCUUGCUAAGACCACCCAGCCCGCCUUCAUUGACACAUAUGAAGGACAAGAGGUGAACAUACCCUGUAACCACAGCAACAUUGCUACGGAUGAGUACAUCUUCUGGUACCGACAGUUCCCUAGCAAGGGACCACAAUUUUUUAUUCAAGGAUUUAAGAAAAACGUGACAAAUGAAGUGGCAUCUCUGUCCAUCCCCGCCGACAGGAAGUCCAGCACCCUGAGCCUGCCCCAGGCUGCCCUGAGAGACUCUGCUGUGUACUACUGCAUCGUGAGUAACACACAGUGA
Non-coding RNA from Ceratotherium simum simum (southern white rhinoceros), 401 nucleotides. NCBI's taxonomy places the organism in Eukaryota, Metazoa, Chordata, Mammalia, Perissodactyla, Rhinocerotidae. The record is from the annotation of a RefSeq genome assembly.